GGAUUAGAUACCCUGGUAGUCCACGCUGUAAACGAUGAGUGCUAGAUAUCGGAAUCUUUCGGUGUCGAAGCUAACGCGUUAAGCACUCCGCCUGAGGAGUACGAUCGCAAGAUUAAAACUUAAAGGAAUUGACGGGGGCUCGCACAAGUGGUGGAGCAUGCGGUUUAAUUCGAUGCUACGCGAAAAACCUUACCAACCCUUGACAUGGUGAUUAUGAGUAUUAGAGAUAGUACUCUUCAGUUCGGCUGGGUCACACACAGGUGUUGCAUGGCUGUCGUCAGCUCGUGCCG
RNAcentral lists this ribosomal RNA (290 nucleotides) under uncultured bacterium. RNAcentral describes it as "partial 16S ribosomal RNA". It matches the Rfam family "Bacterial small subunit ribosomal RNA", at positions 775 to 1067 of the family's 1533-position model. The record is from RNAcentral.